This 425-nucleotide ribosomal RNA is filed under the name uncultured bacterium. Its description in RNAcentral is "bacterial SSU rRNA". It matches the Rfam family "Bacterial small subunit ribosomal RNA", at positions 356 to 773 of the family's 1533-position model. The record is from RNAcentral.
GGGGAAUAUUGGACAAUGGGGGCAACCCUGAUCCAGCCAUGCCGCGUGUGUGAAGAAGGCCUUCGGGUUGUAAAGCACUUUAAGCAGGGAGGAAGGCUCGCAGAUUAAUAAUCUGCGGGAGUGACGUUACCUGCAGAAUAAGCACCGGCAAACUCCGUGCCAGCAGCCGCGGUAAUACGGAGGGUGCGAGCGUUAAUCGGAAUUACUGGGCGUAAAGCGUACGUAGGCGGUUUGUUAAGUCGGAUGUGAAAUCCCCGGGCUCAACCUGGGUGCUGCAUUCGAUACUGGCAGACUUGAAUACGGUAGAGGGGGGUGGAAUUCCAGGUGUAGCGGUGAAAUGCGUAGAGAUCUGGAGGAACACCAGUGGCGAAGGCGGCCCCCUGGACCGAUAUUGACGCUGAGGUACGAAAGCGUGGGGAGCAAAC